UACGUAGGUGGCAAGCGUUUGUCCGGAUUUAUUGGGUUUAAAGGGUGCGUAGGCGGUUUUUUAAGUCAGUGCUGAAAUACUCCAGCUUAACUGGAGGGGUGGCAUUGAUACUGGAAGACUUGAGUACAGAUGAGGUAGGCGGAAUUGACGGUGUAGCGGUGAAAUGCAUAGAUAUCGUCAAGAACACCGAUAGCGAAGGCAGCUUACUGGGCUGUAACUGACGCUGAUGCACGAAAGUGUGGGGAUCAAACAGG
Molecule: ribosomal RNA, 254 nt
Filed under: uncultured bacterium
Lineage: Bacteria
Description: partial 16S ribosomal RNA
Rfam family: Bacterial small subunit ribosomal RNA
Source: RNAcentral